AUGGGGAUGGGGCUCUGCAUGCACCACAAGGCUCUUGGAAGGAUAUUUGAACUUAGAUGCUUGCACAUUCCUUUUCACGACCGCACACCAUUCGAAGAACUUGUCACAAUGGUAGAAGAUGUUUUGAGGGCAGAGCAUUCCACUUCUCCUAAUAAGCCCAUCUAUCUAUUGGGGAAUUCCUUUGGAGGAUGCUUAGCUCUUGCAGUUGCUGGUCGCAAUCCCCGUAUUGAUUUGAUACUGGUACUAGUCAAUCCAGCUACUUCAUUUGAGAGGUCAGACAUAAAAAAGCUUCUGUCAGUUUUCAGCUCGAACAACGCCUAUAUUGCAAUUACAGCUCUACUGAACUACAACAUCGGUAAGUACCUUGUAGGGUCCAGCAUAUAA
Molecule: ribosomal RNA, 384 nt
Filed under: Triticum aestivum (bread wheat)
Lineage: Eukaryota; Viridiplantae; Streptophyta; Magnoliopsida; Poales; Poaceae
Description: partial small subunit ribosomal RNA
Source: RNAcentral